RNAcentral lists this long non-coding RNA (1272 nucleotides) under Solanum tuberosum (potato). RNAcentral describes it as "long non-coding RNA (STUB_LNC003082)". The record is from RNAcentral. Lineage: Eukaryota; Viridiplantae; Streptophyta; Magnoliopsida; Solanales; Solanaceae.
AAACAUUCUCGAAUGUUUUCAGGAGAAACAAAAUCAGCAGCAACUUUGGUACACGACUGGAAAGUUGAAAACGGUUGGUUACUUGAUGAACUUGAUCAUCUGGAUUUUCAUGGAUUAUAUAAGUAUGAUUCUUACCUUGAGAUUACGCACUUGGUGAGGGCAUCCUGCAGGAAUGAAAACUGCCUCUCCAAGUCUUUGCUCGAAUGUCCAAGGUUCAAUCCCUAAAAUGGUAAGCAUCCACAUUUUGAGUUUAUUAAACAAAAUGUGAUCCUUGUUCUUAAGGAAAGAUAACGAACAAGGUAAAUUACUAACCGAAUUCUUCCUUCAGUUUUCUCUUGUGCUCCAUAGUUAGGUAGAAGCUCUGGUCAUGGAUUGGAUGAAAAACCUGAUCAACCGGACAACAGAAAGUGUGCCUAAAUUCCUUUGCAUGCUUUAAAAGAUACUCAUUCAACUUGGGUACGUCUUCCCUUCUGAAAAUGUCCCACAAGGCACCUCCAGUUGUCUCUGAAUCAUCAGAGGUUUUCUCCUCCCCUCUAAUAUCACUAGACAUCUUCAUAGGAUAUUCAUCAGCCUCACAUUUGAGGCGCUCUCUUUCAUCUUGAGUUCUAUGCCUCUGUUUCACUAUUUCAAUUGCAGACUGCUGCUCAUCAGUUAUAGCCAUCUCUGCUGUGUGUGUCAAAAUAUUUAUCUGACCAAUUCAAAAUUUUAAAAUAUUAGCUUGUCAUGAAAUGAGCCUGAAAAAGUAAUGGUUGCAAUCUUAGCAGGUAAUGCAUCAUGGACAGAAUACUGAACUGGGAAAAGCAAUAAACUGCUAUCAAGGUGAGAAUAAACAUAAAACUAGAUUGUGGCAUGUGGUUUAAUUUACCUGGAAUGUGACAAUUGUCAAAAUAUAUUGUAUAGGACUGGCCAUGAGGUUUAUGAGUCUCACUAGACAACAUAAGGCAGAAGAGAUUGGAUGAAUGUGGUGGUUCUAUAUAUUUGGAAUAAAAUGUUAGUUUUUCACCCAUUUUGGAAUUUUCAUACAAUUGAGAUACCUUCUUACCAGGUCCUUGUCGAUUUGGUCAUAGUUUUUGGAUGUGAGCUAAGGUAAUAUCCUCCAAGUUGUGAUUUCAAGUAUUAACCAGGGCUAUUCACAAGUCAACACAUAUAUUAAGGAGGUGGCAUUGACAUGAGAAUAAAGUGAAGAAAUCAAAUGAAUGAACUACAAUAGUCCCGUCAAAAUCAUACCGCAUCUGACAUAUCACAGUGAAGCUUUGUCACUGAAUCCCCUCU